Non-coding RNA from Arvicanthis niloticus (Nile rat), 269 nucleotides. The record is from RefSeq and is a predicted model, not a curated record. NCBI's taxonomy places the organism in Eukaryota, Metazoa, Chordata, Mammalia, Rodentia, Muridae.
CAUGGGCUGAGGGGGAGGGUAGACGAGUGGCGGAAACCCUUAGAGUCAGAGAAGCAUCGAGAACCGGAAGGAGACCUUAGGAGGAAGAACCCAGGAUGCGAUGAUUAGUGGGGAACACUGGAACCUACCAACGAAACUCUCAACAUACAGAGAGACAAUGAGAAAACUUCAAGAAGCCAAUUCCUGUUGCCCUAAUCUAACAAGUUUCACAAAGAAAGUACACUGAAACUUUACUGUCAAUGCAAUAAAGCACAGGAAACUGGGACAAA